This is a non-coding RNA of Odocoileus virginianus texanus, 566 nucleotides long. The record is from RefSeq and is a predicted model, not a curated record. Lineage: Eukaryota; Metazoa; Chordata; Mammalia; Artiodactyla; Cervidae.
UGGGAGUCUCAAGGGAUCCUCAGGAUUUAAACAAGCUGUAAAAAGAUGGUUCACUAUACAUGUGCAGAGCAGGUUCUUCUAGAUCCUGGCCAUUGGUUAUGAAAUGGAGAUGGAAACUGAAGUCAAAGAGCAUAUUUAAGUUUGGAAGAACAGCAUGCAUUGUUAUAGGCAAGUCCUGCUAGGAAGAGAAUAGCGGAACAGCCAUGGGGUCAUCUGCUUACAGCCAGUAGAAGAAAAAGCGUGGAGAAGGCACGCUUACUUCUGCAGCAUGAAGAAGCGACUCCAUGUCACUUCCCACCUUCCAUUGAUUAGAACAUGGCCAUAUCUGGAUGGCAGUAAGACCAGAACAUACCCUGCCUGGGUAGCCACCCCGCAGAGACAAGUUUUCACCAAGGAAGACGAAACACAAAGGUUUGCUUUUGACAGCCGGUUACCACAGACAUCUUUGGCAACUCACUAAGCAGUUCAUGGGGAUACUUCUGUCUGAGAAAUCUUCUCCUUGGUGUCUGAAACCUAUGGCUAAAUUCUCUAUAUCAUUCUGAUCCCUACUGCCACUUUAAGCCAUU